CCGCCUGGGGAGUACGGCCGCAAGGUUAAAACUCAAAUGAAUUGACGGGGGCCCGCACAAGCGGUGGAGCAUGUGGUUUAAUUCGAUGCAACGCGAAGAACCUUACCUGGUCUUGACAUCCACGGAACUUUCCAGAGAUGGAUUGGUGCCUUCGGGAACCGUGAGACAGGUGCUGCAUGGCUGUCGUCAGCUCGUGUUGUGAAAUGUUGGGUUAAGUCCCGCAACGAGCGCAACCCUUAUCCUUUGUUGCCAGCGAUUCGGUCGGGAACUCAAAGGAGACUGCCAGU
RNAcentral lists this ribosomal RNA (287 nucleotides) under Salmonella enterica subsp. enterica serovar Oranienburg. RNAcentral describes it as "partial 16S ribosomal RNA". It matches the Rfam family "Bacterial small subunit ribosomal RNA", at positions 869 to 1156 of the family's 1533-position model. The record is from RNAcentral. Lineage: Bacteria; Pseudomonadati; Pseudomonadota; Gammaproteobacteria; Enterobacterales; Enterobacteriaceae.